UAACCAAUCCAGCCUAGCUGGGAGUUGGGCCUCGCUAUAUAGUGGGCCUUAAAAUCAGUGGCGGUGCUUUUAGGCUCUACGCGUAGUAAAUUUCUCGCUAUAGAGUCCUGAGGAAUACUUGCCAGCAACCCUUUAUUUCUUA
Molecule: unclassified non-coding RNA, 142 nt
Filed under: uncultured Lachnellula
Lineage: Eukaryota; Fungi; Ascomycota; Leotiomycetes; Helotiales; Hyaloscyphaceae
Description: sequence contains ITS2
Source: RNAcentral